GUCAGUUUGUCCGAGUGGUUAAGGAGAUGGACUUGAAAUCCAUUGGGCAUUGCCCGCACAGGUUCGAACCCUGUAGCUGACG
This 82-nucleotide transfer RNA is filed under the name Coemansia sp. RSA 552. RNAcentral describes it as "tRNA-Ser". It matches the Rfam family "tRNA". From Rfam's summary of the family: Transfer RNA (tRNA) molecules are approximately 80 nucleotides in length. The record is from RNAcentral. Lineage: Eukaryota; Fungi; Kickxellomycota; Kickxellomycetes; Kickxellales; Kickxellaceae.